RNAcentral lists this ribosomal RNA (236 nucleotides) under uncultured Candidatus Saccharibacteria bacterium. RNAcentral describes it as "partial 16S ribosomal RNA". It matches the Rfam family "Bacterial small subunit ribosomal RNA", at positions 584 to 818 of the family's 1533-position model. The record is from RNAcentral. Lineage: Bacteria; Candidatus Saccharimonadota.
UAAGUAGGUAGUGAAAUCUGGUGGCUCAACCAUUCAGACUAUUACCUAAACUGACAGACUCGAGAGCGUUAGGGGUAGCUGGAAUUUCUAGUGUAGGAGUGAAAUCCGUAGAUAUUAGAAAGAACACCAAUAGCGUAGGCAGGCUACUGGGACGUUUCUGACACUAAGGCACGAAAGCGUGGGGAGCAAACGGGAUUAGAUACCCCGGUAGUCCACGCCGUAAACGAUGGAUACUA